AACACCUGAAGACCUUGUUAAAAUGCAGAUUCUAACUCAGCUGAUCUUGGGGAGGCCCAAGAUACUGUAUUUCUAACAAGCUUCUAGGUGAUGCUGA
Molecule: microRNA precursor, 97 nt
Filed under: Equus asinus (donkey)
Lineage: Eukaryota; Metazoa; Chordata; Mammalia; Perissodactyla; Equidae
Also listed under: 1 other name
Description: mir-544 microRNA precursor family
Rfam family: mir-544 microRNA precursor family
Source: Rfam by way of RNAcentral